GUGUCCGCACUUUGGCAACAUAUAUACUAAAGUUGAAAUGAUAGAGAUUAGCAUGGCUUCUGCAUAAGAAUUCUUGAAACACAUUCUUGAAAUAUUUCAUAUUUUU
Suncus etruscus (white-toothed pygmy shrew) is the source of this 106-nucleotide small nuclear RNA. Lineage: Eukaryota; Metazoa; Chordata; Mammalia; Eulipotyphla; Soricidae. The record is from RefSeq and is a predicted model, not a curated record.